CAGUAGCCGCGGUAAUACGAAGGGGGCUAGCGUUGUUCGGAAUUACUGGGCGUAAGGCGCACGUAGGCGGAUCGAUCAGUCAGGGGUGAAAUCCCAGGGCUCAACCCUGGAACUGCCUUUGAUACUGUCGAUCUGGAGUAUGGAAGAGGUGAGUGGAAUUCCGAGUGUAGAGGUGAAAUUCGUAGAUAUUCGGAGGAACACCAGUGGCGAAGGCGGCUCACUGGUCCAUUACUGACGCUGAGGUGCGAAAGCGUGGGGAGCAAACAGGAUUAGAUACCCCGGUAGUCCCUGUCUCUUAUAC
Molecule: ribosomal RNA, 301 nt
Filed under: uncultured bacterium
Lineage: Bacteria
Description: partial 16S ribosomal RNA
Rfam family: Bacterial small subunit ribosomal RNA
Source: RNAcentral